CAUGCCUGGGUGUGCAGCGGAGAAGACAGCCUCUUGAAUGAUGUGAACAGUGAUGGCUUUCUCUGAGAGUAAGACAAGAAAGCUUUGUAAAUGGCGUUGAAUUUCCUGCUCUUGGCAGGCCCUGCUCAGCACAGAAGAAAAGACUGAUCAAGUUGUCCAAGAUGGAGCCCUUUAUCCACGUUAGUCCACUUAUCUCUUUAAGAUUAAAG
This 209-nucleotide long non-coding RNA is filed under the name Homo sapiens (human). RNAcentral's name for it is "non-protein coding lnc-CCNI-1:1". Lineage: Eukaryota; Metazoa; Chordata; Mammalia; Primates; Hominidae. The record is from RNAcentral.